GAUGAACGCUGGCGGCGUGCUUAACACAUGCAAGUCGAACGGGAUCCAUCAAGCUUGCUUGGUGGUGAGAGUGGCGAACGGGUGAGUAAUGCGUGACCGACCUGCCCCAUGCUCCGGAAUAGCUCCUGGAAACGGGUGGUAAUGCCGGAUGUUCCACAUGAUCGCAUGUGAUUGUGGGAAAGAUUCUAUCGGCGUGGGAUGGGGUCGCGUCCUAUCAGCUUGUUGGUGAGGUAACGGCUCACCAAGGCUUCGACGGGUAGCCGGCCUGAGAGGGCGACCGGCCACAUUGGGACUGAGAUACGGCCCAGACUCCUACGGGAGGCAGCAGUGGGGAAUAUUGCACAAUGGGCGCAAGCCUGAUGCAGCGACGCCGCGUGAGGGAUGGAGGCCUUCGGGUUGUAAACCUCUUUUGUUUGGGAGCAAGCCUUCGGGUGAGUGUAC
This 441-nucleotide ribosomal RNA is filed under the name uncultured bacterium. RNAcentral describes it as "bacterial SSU rRNA". It matches the Rfam family "Bacterial small subunit ribosomal RNA", at positions 28 to 478 of the family's 1533-position model. The record is from RNAcentral.